UACACUCCUACGGGAGGCAGCAGUGGGGAAUAUUGGACAAUGGGCGCAAGCCUGAUCCAGCCAUGCCGCGUGAGUGAUGAAGGCCCUAGGGUUGUAAAGCUCUUUCACCGGUGAAGAUAAUGACGGUAACCGGAGAAGAAGCCCCGACUAACUUCGUGCCAGCAGCCGCGGUAAUACGAAGGGGGCUAGCGUUGUUCGGAUUUACUGGGCGUAAAGCGCACGUAAGCGGACUAUUAAGUCAGGGGUGAAAUCCCGGGGCUCAACCCCGGAACUGCCUUUGAUACUGGUAGUCUUGAGUUCGAGAGAGGUGAGUGGAAUUCCGAGUGUAGAGGUGAAAUUCGUAGAUAUUCGGAGGAACACCAGUGGCGAAGGCGGCUCACUGGCUCGAUACUGACGCUGAGGUGCGAAAGCGUGGGGAGCAAACAGGAUUAGAAACCCUGGUAGUCCCAUGAU
This 453-nucleotide ribosomal RNA is filed under the name uncultured organism. RNAcentral's name for it is "partial 16S ribosomal RNA". It matches the Rfam family "Bacterial small subunit ribosomal RNA", at positions 332 to 801 of the family's 1533-position model. The record is from RNAcentral.